Sapajus apella (tufted capuchin) is the source of this 351-nucleotide long non-coding RNA. RefSeq lists it as uncharacterized. The record is from RefSeq and is a predicted model, not a curated record. The transcript has 3 exons. NCBI's taxonomy places the organism in Eukaryota, Metazoa, Chordata, Mammalia, Primates, Cebidae.
AGAAAAGCAGAAACACUUCACAACUCAUUUUAUGAAGUCAGCAUUACCCAGAACCAAAGACAUUCCAAGGGAAACAACAGACCAAUAUCCCUAAUAAAAAUAAACGGAGAAAAAUCUUUAGCAAAAGACUAACAAAUCGAACCCAGUAAUACAUUAAAAGAAUACCAUAACAUGACCAAGUGGAUUUUAUACAGGCUAUGCAAAAUUGGUUCAACUUUCAAAACAUUGUGUAAGUUCAACUUACUAAACAAGAAAAGUCAUAUGAUCAUCUCAAUAGAUGUAAAACAGCAUUUGACAGAGUUUAGCAUCCUUUUUUGAUAAAAACUCCCAAGAAACUGGGAACAGAAUGAA